RNAcentral lists this ribosomal RNA (497 nucleotides) under uncultured bacterium. RNAcentral's name for it is "partial 16S ribosomal RNA". It matches the Rfam family "Bacterial small subunit ribosomal RNA", at positions 28 to 507 of the family's 1533-position model. The record is from RNAcentral.
GAUGAACGCUGGCGGCGUGCCUAAUACAUGCAAGUCGAGCGAACAGACGAGGAGCUUGCUCCUCUGACGUUAGCGGCGGACGGGUGAGUAACACGUGGAUAACCUACCUAUAAGACUGGGAUAACUUCGGGAAACCGGAGCUAAUACCGGAUAAUAUAUUGAACCGCAUGGUUCAAUAGUGAAAGACGGUUUUGCUGUCACUUAUAGAUGGAUCCGCGCCGCAUUAGCUAGUUGGUAAGGUAACGGCUUACCAAGGCAACGAUGCGUAGCCGACCGGAGAGGGUGAUCGGCCACACUGGAACGGAGACACGGACAAGACUCCUACGGGAGGCAGCAGUAGGGAAUCUUACGCAAUGGGCGAAAGCCUGACGGAGCAACGCCGAGUGAGUGAUGAAGGUCUUCGGAUCGUAAAACUCUGUUAUUAGGGAAGAACAAAUGUGUAAGUAACUAUGCACGUCUUGACGGUACCUAAUCAGUAAGCCACGGCUAACUACGUG